UCCGGCGGGAGCUAGCGUUGUUCGGAAUUACUGGGCGUAACGCGCACGUAGGCGGCUUUGUAAGUUAGGGGUGAAAGCCCGGAGCUCAACUCCGGAAUUGCCUUUAAGACUGCAUCGCUUGAAUCCGGGAGAGGUGAGUGGAAUUCCGAGUGUAGAGGUGAAAUUCGUAGAUAUUCGGAAGAACACCAGUGGCGAAGGCGGCUCACUGGACUGGUAUUGACGCUGAGGUGCGAAAGCGUGGGGAGCAAACAGG
This 253-nucleotide ribosomal RNA is filed under the name uncultured bacterium. RNAcentral's name for it is "partial 16S ribosomal RNA". It matches the Rfam family "Bacterial small subunit ribosomal RNA", at positions 524 to 776 of the family's 1533-position model. The record is from RNAcentral.